RNAcentral lists this transfer RNA (71 nucleotides) under Loxodonta africana (African savanna elephant). It matches the Rfam family "tRNA". From Rfam's summary of the family: Transfer RNA (tRNA) molecules are approximately 80 nucleotides in length. The record is from Rfam by way of RNAcentral. Lineage: Eukaryota; Metazoa; Chordata; Mammalia; Proboscidea; Elephantidae.
GGGGGGGUGGUUCAGUGGUAGAAUUCUCGCCUUUUAUGCAGAAGACCUGGGUUCAAUUCCCAGCCAACGCA